UACGGGGGGUGCAAGCGUUGUCCGGAUUUACUGGGCGUAAAGGGCGCGUAGGCGGCGUGACAAGUCACUUGUGAAAUCUCCGGGGCUUAACUCGGAACGGUCAAGUGAUACUGUCGUGCUAGAGUACAGAAGGGGCAACUGGAAUUCUCGGUGUAGCGGUGAAAUGCGUAGAUAUCGAGAGGAACACCUGCGGCGAAGGCGGGUUGCUGGGCUGAUACUGACGCUGAGGCGCGAAAGCUAGGGGAGCGAACGGG
RNAcentral lists this ribosomal RNA (254 nucleotides) under uncultured bacterium. RNAcentral describes it as "partial 16S ribosomal RNA". It matches the Rfam family "Bacterial small subunit ribosomal RNA", at positions 524 to 776 of the family's 1533-position model. The record is from RNAcentral.